Diachasma alloeum is the source of this 312-nucleotide long non-coding RNA. RefSeq lists it as uncharacterized. The transcript has 2 exons. The record is from RefSeq and is a predicted model, not a curated record. NCBI's taxonomy places the organism in Eukaryota, Metazoa, Arthropoda, Insecta, Hymenoptera, Braconidae.
CCUCUUUCUCGCUUGUCAUGAGUGCAGUGCAGGUGGGGAGCCCACGCAAUAGUGAAAUAAUUACAAAAAUGAUUUCUUCAACUUCCUGGAUACCUGCGCCUCUGGACUGCAUGACUAUGUGUGACAGGUGGCGAGUGACUUCUCAGUUGCCGUAGCAACCGAUCAUCGAUUUUCACAACUUAUUAUGAGUUGAAAUUAAUAAGACACACAUUGUAGCGAAUUUGUUCAACUUUAAUACUAUUCUUGUAAUAAUUACAGCAAUUAUUUGCUAUUAAUUUACAAAAAAAAUAGAUAAAUUUGUUUAUCCGAGUA